RNAcentral lists this ribosomal RNA (301 nucleotides) under uncultured bacterium. Its description in RNAcentral is "partial 16S ribosomal RNA". It matches the Rfam family "Bacterial small subunit ribosomal RNA", at positions 509 to 808 of the family's 1533-position model. The record is from RNAcentral.
CAGUGCCGCGGGAAUACGAAGGGGGCUAGCGUUGCUCGGAAUGACUGGGCGUAAAGGGCGCGUAGGCGGCGAUCAAAGUCAGGCGUGAAAUUCCUGGGCUCAACCUGGGGGCUGCGCUUGAUACUUGGUUGCUUGAGUGGGGAAGAGGGUCGUGGAAUUCCCAGUGUAGAGGUGAAAUUCGUAGAUAUUCGGAAGAACACAAGUGGCGAAGGCGGCUCACUGGCUCAUACUGGACGCUGAGGUGCGAAAGCGUGGGGAGCAAACAGGAUUAGAUACCCCCGUAGUCCCUGUCUCUUAUACA